This 484-nucleotide ribosomal RNA is filed under the name uncultured bacterium. RNAcentral's name for it is "partial 16S ribosomal RNA". It matches the Rfam family "Bacterial small subunit ribosomal RNA", at positions 29 to 507 of the family's 1533-position model. The record is from RNAcentral.
AGUGAACGCUGGCGGCAGGCCUAACACAUGCAAGUCGAGCGGCAGCACAGUACUUGCUCCUGGUUUCAGCGGGGGAGGGGUGCGUGAUGCCUAUGAAUCUGCCUGGUAGCGUUUGUUAACGUCAGCACACGGGCGCUAAUACCGCAUACGCCCUGAGGCAGCAAGUGGGGGAUCUUGGGAUCUCACGCUAUCACAUGAGCCUAGGUCGGAUUAGCUAGUUGGCGGGGUAAAGGCCUACCAAGGCGACGAUCCGUAGCUGGUCUGAGAGGAUGAUCAGUCACACUGGAACUGAGACACGGUCCAGACUCCUACGGGAGGCAGCAGUGGGGAAUAUUGGACAAUGGGCGCAAGCCUGAUCCAGCCAUGCCGCGUGUGUGAAGAAGGUCUUCGGGUUGUAAAGCACUUUUGUUGGGGAAGAAAAGCAGUAGGUUAAUACCCUGCUGUUUUGACGGUACCAAAAGAAUAAGCACCGGCUAACUUCGUG